CCUACGGGUGGCAGCAGUGGGGAAUAUUGCACAAUGGGGGGAACCCUGAUGCAGCAACGCCGCGUGAGUGAAGAAGUAUCUCGGUAUGUAAAGCUCUAUCAGCAGGGAAGAAAAUGACGGUACCUGACUAAGAAGCACCGGCUAAAUACGUGCCAGCAGCCGCGGUAAUACGUAUGGUGCAAGCGUUAUCCGGAUUUACUGGGUGUAAAGGGAGCGCAGGCGGCGCGGCAAGUCAGAUGUGAAAGCCCGGGGCUCAACCCCGGGACUGCAUUUGAAACUGCCGGGCUGGAGUGUCGGAGAGGCAAGUGGAAUUCCUAGUGUAGCGGUGAAAUGCGUAGAUAUUAGGAGGAACACCAGUGGCGAAGGCGGCUUGCUGGACGAUCACUGACGCUGAGGCUCGAAAGCGUGGGGAGCAAACAGGAUUAGAUACCCGUGUAGUC
RNAcentral lists this ribosomal RNA (440 nucleotides) under uncultured bacterium. RNAcentral's name for it is "partial 16S ribosomal RNA". It matches the Rfam family "Bacterial small subunit ribosomal RNA", at positions 338 to 795 of the family's 1533-position model. The record is from RNAcentral.